Drosophila pseudoobscura is the source of this 995-nucleotide long non-coding RNA. RefSeq lists it as uncharacterized. The transcript is spliced from 3 exons. The record is from RefSeq and is a predicted model, not a curated record. Lineage: Eukaryota; Metazoa; Arthropoda; Insecta; Diptera; Drosophilidae.
AGUUCUGAUUAGAUUUAAGAAUUUGGCAUAAAACUUUGAAUAUUUUUAAACAAAUUUCUAUCAAAAUGGUUCUCCCCAAAAAGGCCUUUCCAACUGUCUGUAAACCCUUUCCACAUCGAAUCUCUUUCAGCGAUUGAUUUAUGGUGCUUACUUUCCGUUUUAUGCGGCCAACGUCCAAUUAAUACAUAGUAGAGUAGAGUAGAGGAGUACGAAACGAAUCGACUCGACCAGAUAUACAUCUUCUUGGAUAUAACAUACACUAGACGACGACGCACAAUCGAAAGAGUCAACUAUGUGCGAGGCGGGUAAAUGGAGAGAUCUCUCAGGCAAUAAAUAUAUAAAAGUCAAAGAUGUGUGCACAAAAGAGGGAACAGAGGCGUAACCAGAGAGGGGGUAUGGAUAGUUUCAGCUUGAUUGGAUCGAACAUAUGUCAGCCACAUCCACUCCGCUGGAUGCUGCACAUCGUCCUCCAUUGUCCAGCGCUAAUAGAGACAUACAACGCCAACUGGGAAUUGAUCGGCAGGCAGCAUAUCCCAGCGAGGAGACGCAACCGGGGGCUUCUUCGUUAACAGCAAAAAGUUUGAAUUUUCGAACGUUUCGUUAGUUUUCGUCGGAUGUCAUAAACUUUUAUGAUCCAAAGACGAGGACAAUGGGACGGCCAGCAGCAGCAAGCAGCUGUAAGCAGAAGUCAAGAUGAUUGGGCAUUAUGCUGCCGAGACCCAAAACCCAGUCCCAGUCCCAGGCCGGGACUCUGGGUCUCUUUCUUUUUAAUGUUCAUAGGGGUCGUCGCUGCUGCUUUGCACGAUCCUCCGUCUCCUCCUCCCCCCCCAUGGGUGCCAAUUAAGAUACGAAGAAGCGGUGCCUGGAGGGGGGGACGGAUGCGAGACUCUGCUCUGGACCCUAUUAGCAGCCAUAUUGGUGCAGGCACUGAGAAAAAUCAUACAGAAAAUAUAAUGAAAAUAUUAUGGAAAGGUGUGCAAAUUUUUGUUUAAAAA